This 60-nucleotide transfer RNA is filed under the name Hypoaspis linteyini. Its description in RNAcentral is "tRNA-Asp". Lineage: Eukaryota; Metazoa; Arthropoda; Arachnida; Mesostigmata; Laelapidae. The record is from RNAcentral.
AAAAAUUUAGUUAAAUCAUAACAUUGAAUUGUCAUUUCAAAAUUACAUAUGUAAUUUUUA